UACGUAGGGUGCAAGCGUUGUCCGGAAUUAUUGGGCGUAAAGAGCUUGUAGGCGGUUUGUCGCGUCUGCUGUGAAAAUCCGGGGCUCAACCCCGGACUUGCAGUGGGUACGGGCAGACUAGAGUGUGGUAGGGGAGACUGGAAUUCCUGGUGUAGCGGUGAAAUGCGCAGAUAUCAGGAGGAACACCGAUGGCGAAGGCAGGUCUCUGGGCCACUACUGACGC
This 223-nucleotide ribosomal RNA is filed under the name uncultured bacterium. RNAcentral's name for it is "partial 16S ribosomal RNA". It matches the Rfam family "Bacterial small subunit ribosomal RNA", at positions 524 to 746 of the family's 1533-position model. The record is from RNAcentral.